CGCCUACGGGGCGCAGCAGUGAGGAAUAUUGGUCAAUGGGCGGAAGCCUGAACCAGCCAAGUCGCGUGAGGGAAUAAGGCCCUACGGGUCGUAAACCUCUUUUGCCGGGGAGCAAGGGCGGGGACGUGUCCCGGCCCGGAGAGUACCCGGAGAAAAAGCAUCGGCUAACUCCGUGCCAGCAGCCGCGGUAAUACGGAGGAUCCAAGCGUUAUCCGGAUUUAUUGGGUUUAAAGGGUGCGUAGGCGGUUUGAUAAGUUAGAGGUGAAAUACCGGUGCUCAACACCGGAACUGCCUCUAAUACUGUU
Molecule: ribosomal RNA, 305 nt
Filed under: uncultured bacterium
Lineage: Bacteria
Description: bacterial SSU rRNA
Rfam family: Bacterial small subunit ribosomal RNA
Source: RNAcentral